GACGAACGCUGGCGGCGUGCUUAACACAUGCAAGUCGAACGGAAAGGCCCUGCUUUUGUGGGGUGCUCGAGUGGCGAACGGGUGCGUAACACGUGAGUAACCUGCCCUUGACUUUGGGAUAACUUCAGGAAACUGGGGCUAAUACCGGAUAGGAGCUCCUGCUGCAUGGUGGGGGUUGGAAAGUUUCGGCGGUUGGGGAUGGAUUCGCGGCUUAUCAGCUUGUUGGUGGGGUAGUGGCUUACCAAGGCUUUGACGGGUAGCCGGCCUGAGAGGGUGACCGGCGACAUGAGGACUGAGAUACGGCCCAGACUCCUACAGGAGGCAGCAGUGGGGAAUAUUGCACAAUGGGCGGAAGCCUGAUGCGGCAACGCCGCGUGCGGAAUGACGGCCUUCGGGUUGUGAACCGCUUUCGCCUGUGACGAAGCGUGAGUGACGGUAAUGAGUAAAGAAGCACCGGCUAACUACGUG
This 468-nucleotide ribosomal RNA is filed under the name uncultured bacterium. RNAcentral's name for it is "partial 16S ribosomal RNA". It matches the Rfam family "Bacterial small subunit ribosomal RNA", at positions 28 to 507 of the family's 1533-position model. The record is from RNAcentral.